Molecule: long non-coding RNA, 3343 nt
Organism: Pangasianodon hypophthalmus (striped catfish)
Lineage: Eukaryota; Metazoa; Chordata; Actinopteri; Siluriformes; Pangasiidae
Exons: 5
Source: RefSeq, a predicted model, not a curated record
GAAGUAUUUUCACUAAAGCUCUCAGACGUUUAGUCCUCACUGUGUAUAUAUGUUUCAUUAAUGACAUGAGUUUAUUCAGAAUGCAUUGUGAUGUUUUAGUCUCGAUCGUAAGCUGCUGUGGAAAAACCAAAUCUCCAAACUGUGAUGUGAAGCUUCAAGAAGUCAGUGGAUCACAGAGUUGGUUACCAAAAGCGCAUAAUGAAAGCAGCUACACUGUGGUGGAGUUUAUUCCGUUUCACACUGUGAUGUAGCACACACACACACACACACACACACACACACACACACACACACACACACAUUGGUCAUUGUAUUUUUUUUCCAUAAGCUGUGCUACAUGAUUGCGGUUAUAGUCUGCACGCUAACGCUGUAACUGCCGAUUGCGGUUAUAGUCUGCACGCUAACGCUUCUCACACACGUCUAAGGUGUACAGCUCCAUCUUCCGCUUCUCAUUCUCAGAGUGUGACCUUCUGCAGUAAAAUUCUCACAUGAGUUUUUCUCUGCAUGAUCAAACUAAACCUCUGUCCAUGUUUCUCAUAUGUAGCUGCUGCUGCUGAUAGUGUAAUGUUUCAGAAGGGAAGAUGGCUGGAGCUUUACUGCACAUCUUCUCUUGCUGUCUUUGUAAGUGUUUAACACCAGGCCAUAAUGCCAUUGCAGAUCAAAUGUUUACUGAAUGAAGCGUGUGUUCUUUCAAGCAAAGGCUCACUUUCAAACCUGUACCUGUGUCACUGUGUCUUAUUUUAUUCUUCUGUAAGGAAUAACACACUCUGUGUGCUGCUGUUAUAGGGAAUUAAUCAGUGAUGGGCUGCUGUGAUGAAGAAUAUACACACACACACACACACACUCAUUCACAUCUAGGGCCAGUUUAUCUCAGCCAGUUCACCUACAGACAUGUUUUUCCACUCGUCCUCUAGUCUGUGAACAGAGGCAGGAAAAAAGAAAGGAACGCAGGAGUGUGUGUAUAAAACAGUGUAGCAGUGACUCCCCUGGUGUUUGUGGACUAGAAUAAUAAAAGAUUAAAAAAAAAAAAAAAAAAGAGUGAGUCUGUUAUUCCAGUUUGUGGAUUCAGAAUGUAUCUCUCAGAUAAAUGCAGAUAAAUGAACACAUUUAAGAGGAGCUGUUGAUGUCUUAUUGCUCAGUAAAGUGUUUUUUUUCGUCCGGCCCACUCGACAUUAGACUAAGUGUAACGUGAGCCGUUACCUAAAACGAGUUCGACACCCCGACCCUAACCAAUCCCCUAUACCAGAGAAACUAAACUGAAUGGAUUUAUAAUUGUUUAUCACUAAAUAAAUUCACUGUUUUUGUCAAAUCUCACCUAAAUGGUUUGGGGAUUUGAGAAGAUGUUUUUCUACAAAUAUAAUGUGAUUUCUGGUCUUUUCAUCAGGAAGAGAUAAAAAAAACUUGUGGUCAGAGUGAGUUGAACUGCCACUUCCCCUUCACUCCUGUAGCUCUAAAUUUCUUCUUGUCUGAAGCUUCCUUACUGACAAUUUACAGUUUGUGACCAGAGAUCAAGUUUCAUCAUGAAGAUCCUCCACAUUCACUUCUGUAAGUUUAUUUCCUUUAGCUAAAUCACUGAUCAUAUUUAAUGAAUACAUUCCUGAUUCAUGCAUUUGUGUAUUACUUCUUAACGAACAGCAAAUCACCACAAGUCAGGUUUUUUUUUUUUAAACUAGAUCUAGUUAUGUGCUGUGGAGCUGCAGAAAGUUUCACAGAGAAGUCGGUAGAUUUGGGACAAAAUGUGAUUCUAAAGUGUGAGGUGUCUGUAAAAGAUGUGUACUGGUUCCUGAUGAAGCCGUCAGAACCUCCACUGUUUAUAUUACGCUCUUUCUCAAGUAAAAGCCUGGAGGCAGAAUACAGUAACACGACCUUCAACAAGACUUUCUCACUGCAAUAUAACAGCAGUUUAUUUAUACACAACAUCAGUACUAAUGAAUUAGGAGUGUAUUAUUGUAUUCAAACUGGUUCACCUCCCGACAUCAGCAGUGGAAUCAGACUUUACAUCCAGAAUCACUCAGCUGAGAAUCAGACAGCAGAUAAAUGUGAAGACGCUGGACUCUGGCGAAGUCUCUUCAUCAUACUCGGAAUAAUAAUCUGUCUUGUUGUUGUUGGAGUCACAGUCUCGAUCGUAAGCUGCUGUGGAAAAAACAAAUCUCCAAACUGUGAUGUGAAGCUUCAGGAAGUCAGCGGAUCACAGAGUUGGUUACCAAAAGCGCAUAAUGAAAGCAGCUACACUGUGGUGGAGUUUAUUCCAUUUCACACUGUGAUGUAACAAACACGCACAUAAACACACAAACACACACACACAUUGUUCACUGUGUUUUUUUUUCCAUAAGCUGUGCUAAACGAUUGCAGUUAUAGUCUGCAUGCUAACACGUCUCACACACGUCUAAGGCGUACAGCUCCAUCUUCCGCUUCUCAUUCUCAGAGUGUGACCUUCUGCAGUAAAAUUCUCACACGAGUUUUUCUCUACAUGAUCAAACUAAACCUCUGUCCAUGUUUCUCAUAUGUAGCUGCUGCUGCUGAUAGUGUAAUGUUUCAGAAGGGAAGAUGGCUGGAGCUUUACUGCACAUCUUCUCUUGCUGUCUUUGUAAGUGUUUAACACCAGGCCAUAAUGCCAUUGCAGAUCAAAUGUUUACUGAAUGAAGCGUGUGUUCUUUCAAGCAAAGGCUCACUUUCAAACCUGUUCCUGUGUCACUGUGUCUUAUUUUAUUCUUCUGUAAGGAAUAACACACUUUGUGUGCUGCUGUUAUAGGGAAUUAAUCAGUGAUGGGCUGCUGUGAUGAAGCGUGUAAACACACACACAUUCACACACUCAUUCACAUCUAGGCCCAGUUUAUCUCAGCCAGUUCACCUACAGACAUGUUUUUCCACUCGUCCUCUAGUCUGUGAACAGAGGCAGGAAAAAAGAAAGGAACGCAGGAGUGUGUGUAUAAAACAGUGUAGCAGUGACUCCCCUGGUGUGUGUGGACUGGACUAAUAAAAGAUUUAAAAAAGAAAAAAGACUGAGUGUGUGUUGUUCCACUAGGGGGCAAACUGGAGCAAUAAACUCAGGGCUGUAAACUCAGCUACUGACAGAAUGUGCUAAUGAUGUAAUCCUUCAUUAACAAACUAAACAUUUAACCCUGUAACUGUGUCUCUUUCUAAAAGAACUAAAUUAAGGGUUUCACAGCAACCAGACACCAUAAAGCCAUCAUUUAGUAAUGAACUGCAGUGUGUUCAUGUGUUGUGUAGGAGAUAGAGUGUGUUCAGCUCAGUGUGUGGAUUCAGAAUGUAUCUCUCAGAUAAAUGCAGAUAAAUGAACACAUUUAAGAGGAGCUGUUGAUGUCUUACUGCUCACUAAAAU